UACAGAGGUCUCAAGCGUUGUUCGGAUUCAUUGGGCGUAAAGGGUGCGUAGGCGGCCCGCGCAAGCGUGCGGUGAAAGCCCGGGGCUCAACCCCGGGUCGGCCGUGCGGACUGCGGGGCUCGAGCACUGUAGGGGCAGAUGGAAUUCCGGGUGUAGCGGUGGAAUGCGUAGAGAUCCGGAAGAACACCGGUGGCGAAGGCGGUUAGCUGGGCAGUUGCUGACACUGAGGCGCGACAGCGUGGGGAGCAAAAGGG
RNAcentral lists this ribosomal RNA (254 nucleotides) under uncultured bacterium. RNAcentral describes it as "partial 16S ribosomal RNA". It matches the Rfam family "Bacterial small subunit ribosomal RNA", at positions 524 to 776 of the family's 1533-position model. The record is from RNAcentral.